ACGAAGGGUGCAAGCGUUAAUCGGAAUUACUGGGCGUAAAGGGUGCGUAGGCGGUUCGUUAAGUCUGUCGUGAAAUCCCCGGGCUCAACCUGGGAAUGGCGAUGGAUACUGGCGAGCUAGAGUGUGUCAGAGGAUGGUGGAAUUCCCGGUGUAGCAGUGAAAUGCGUAGAGAUCGGGAGGAACACCAGUGGCGAAGGCGGCCUUCUGGACCAGUACUGACGCUCAUGCACGAAAGCGUGGGGAGCAAACAGGA
RNAcentral lists this ribosomal RNA (253 nucleotides) under uncultured prokaryote. RNAcentral describes it as "partial 16S ribosomal RNA". It matches the Rfam family "Bacterial small subunit ribosomal RNA", at positions 525 to 777 of the family's 1533-position model. The record is from RNAcentral.